UUUAGGGACUGGACUUGCGGUGUAAACAGAGACGCUGCAAAUUGCUUGUGGACGGUAUAGGCUGCUGCAGGCCACCAUGAACCGGCUGCCGGAUGACUACGACCCCUACGCGGUUGAAGAGCCUAGCGACGAGGAGCCGGCUUUGAGCAGCUCUGAGGAUGAAGUGGAUGUGCUUUUACAUGGAACUCCUGACCAAAAACGAAAACUCAUCAGAGAAUGUCUUACCGGAGAAAGUGAAUCAUCUAGUGAAGAUGAAUUUGAAAAGGAGAUGGAAGCUGAAUUAAAUUCUACCAUGAAAACAAUGGAGGACAAGUUAUCCUCUCUGGGAACUGGUAAACUUUUGGUUCAAUUUUAUAUAUAUUUUUGUAAGCUCUGUAAGGGCAGUAACCUUAUUUGUGCUCUUCUAUGUCCCCAGCACUUUCAAUAGGUGCUCAAUAAAUAUUUAUUGAAUGAAGGAGUAAAUGUAUUUGGCAGUCUGAGCUAGAGUCUUCCUUUUCUCAUUUAAAAACAGUUAUUUAUUUAUUACUUUAGAUUCAAUGUCUCAUUCUGUCACCCAGGCUGGA
RNAcentral lists this small RNA (563 nucleotides) under Pan troglodytes (chimpanzee). Its description in RNAcentral is "retained intron". The record is from RNAcentral. Lineage: Eukaryota; Metazoa; Chordata; Mammalia; Primates; Hominidae.